RNAcentral lists this small nuclear RNA (107 nucleotides) under Dasypus novemcinctus (nine-banded armadillo). The record is from RNAcentral. Lineage: Eukaryota; Metazoa; Chordata; Mammalia; Cingulata; Dasypodidae.
GCGCUCACUUCGGCAGCACAUAUACUAAAAUGGGAAUGAUACAGAGAAGAUUAGUGUGGUCCCUGCGCAAGGAUGACAUGCAAAUUCGUGAAGUGUUUCAUAUUAGA